GGGUACAUUGCUCAGUGGUAGAGUGUGUGCUUAGCACGCAGGAGGCCCUGGGUUCAGUCCUCAGUGCUCCCA
This 72-nucleotide transfer RNA is filed under the name Camelus ferus (Wild Bactrian camel). It matches the Rfam family "tRNA". From Rfam's summary of the family: Transfer RNA (tRNA) molecules are approximately 80 nucleotides in length. Their secondary structure includes four short double-helical elements and three loops (D, anti-codon, and T loops). Further hydrogen bonds mediate the characteristic L-shaped molecular structure. tRNAs have two regions of fundamental functional importance: the anti-codon, which is responsible for specific mRNA codon recognition, and the 3' end, to which the tRNAs corresponding amino acid is attached (by aminoacyl-tRNA synthetases). tRNAs cope with the degeneracy of the genetic code in two manners: having more than one tRNA (with a specific anti-codon) for a particular amino acid; and 'wobble' base-pairing, i.e. permitting non-standard base-pairing at the 3rd anti-codon position. Lineage: Eukaryota; Metazoa; Chordata; Mammalia; Artiodactyla; Camelidae. The record is from Rfam by way of RNAcentral.